Molecule: ribosomal RNA, 1134 nt
Filed under: Triticum aestivum (bread wheat)
Lineage: Eukaryota; Viridiplantae; Streptophyta; Magnoliopsida; Poales; Poaceae
Description: partial small subunit ribosomal RNA
Source: RNAcentral
AGCAAGAACGCCGCGCCGGGAGGGAAAGACCCCUUCGCCAAGUUCGGCGACGAUUACCACACCCUGGAGCAGGUGACUGAUGCUCUUUCACAUAAUGGACUGGAGUCCUCAAAUCUAAUCGUUGGGAUUGAUUUCACCAAGAGCAACGAAUGGACAGGUAAAUUGUCCUUCAACAACCGGAGCUUGCAUGCAAUAGGGAAUACUCCAAACCCUUAUGAGCAGGCUAUAUCCAUUAUCGGGAGAACCCUCGCACGAUUUGAUGAGGACAAUCUGAUACCAUGCUUUGGAUUCGUUGAUGCUACUACUCAUGAUCAAAAGGUAUUUAGCUUCUAUCCUGAGAACGAACCGUGUGAUGGCUUUGAACAAGCACUUGGGCGAUACAGAGAAAUUGUUCCACAGCUUCGUUUGGCUGGUCCCACUUCAUUUGCACCUAUGAUUGAGACUGCUAUUGGUAUUGUUGAUAGUAGUGGUGGCCAGUACCAUGUUCUGCUCAUAAUAGCAGAUGGACAGGUUACACGCAGUGUUGACACUGGUAAUGGCCAGUUGAGCCCACAGGAAAGAGAAACUAUAGAUGCCAUUGUGAAAGCAAGUGACUACCCUUUGUCAAUUGUGCUUGUUGGAGUUGGUGAUGGGCCCUGGGAUAUGAUGAGGCAAUUUGAUGACAACAUUCCUUCUCGUGCAUUUGAUAAUUUUCAGUUUGUGAACUUCACAGAGAUCAUGUCAAGGCCUAUUCCUACUAGCAAAAAGGAGGCAGAAUUUGCUCUUUCAGCACUUAUGGAGAUCCCAGCCCAGUUCAAGGCAACAAUGAACCUCCAGCUUCUUGGCAAACGAAGAGGAUUUCCGCACCGAUCAGUGUUACCUCCACCUGUGAGGGUAUAUCAACAACCCUCUGGAUACUCAGCAGUCAAGCAGACUCAAUCGACUGGCACCGGCUAUGUGUCGCCACAGAAGAAUGCAUCAGCACCUCGACAGGACAGUGAUGUGGGUGAUCAGCAGACUUGUCCAAUCUGCUGGUCUGAAGCAAAGAACCUGGCUUUUGGAUGUGGGCACCAGACAUGCGCCGACUGCGGGAAAGAUCUGAAGGUUUGCCCCCUUUGCCAGAGGGCGAUCUCCACAAGGAUUAGGCUCUACUGA